CUUCAUAUCUGCACUUCCUGUGAUCAUUGAUCUCUUACUUCAAACCAAGGGCAACAAGACGUUUCUCUAACGGACUGCCCAGAACUUUUAAAGAUCUACUGUUCGUUUUUAUUUGAUUCAAAUCCAGUCGAUUUAAUACACGUUUAGUAAAGAUCCUUGUCCAGUCAAUGUGAUCCUUGUCCAGUCAAUGUGAUCCAGUCAAUGUGAUCCUUGUCCAGUCAAUGUGAUCCUUGUCCAGUCAAUGUGAUCCUUGUCCAGUCAAUGUGAUCCUUGUCCAUGCAGUCAAUGUGAUCCUUGUCCAUGCAGUCAAUGUGAUCCUUGUCC
Molecule: long non-coding RNA, 324 nt
Organism: Mytilus trossulus (common blue mussel)
Lineage: Eukaryota; Metazoa; Mollusca; Bivalvia; Mytilida; Mytilidae
Exons: 3
Source: RefSeq, a predicted model, not a curated record